UACGUAGGGUGCAAGCGUUAAUCGGAAUUACUGGGCGUAAAGCGUGCGCAGGCGGUUCGCUAAGACCGAUGUGAAAUCCCCAGGCUCAACCUGGGAACUGCGUCUGAUACUGGAUGGCUUGAAUUCGGGAGAGGGAUGCAGAAUUCCAGGUGUAGCGGUGAAAUGCGCAGAUAUCGGGAGGAACACCAGUAGCGAAGGCGGCUCGCUGGGCCAUUCCUGACGCUGAGACGCGAAAGCUAGGGGAGCGAACAGG
Molecule: ribosomal RNA, 253 nt
Filed under: uncultured bacterium
Lineage: Bacteria
Description: partial 16S ribosomal RNA
Rfam family: Bacterial small subunit ribosomal RNA
Source: RNAcentral